This 1926-nucleotide long non-coding RNA is filed under the name Hordeum vulgare. RNAcentral's name for it is "long non-coding RNA (HVUL_LNC020522)". Lineage: Eukaryota; Viridiplantae; Streptophyta; Magnoliopsida; Poales; Poaceae. The record is from RNAcentral.
UGCAUUAUGAAGACAAUUAAAAUAUCAAUCAGUUACAAAUGAAGUCUUUCUGCAAUUAAAUUGGUUUGACAUUCUUUCACAAAAAAGGUGUCUUAUCUUACUCCACCACAAUAUUUCCCUGCAAUUAAAUUUGUUUGCUUUCUGAAGAUAGAAAAAAAUUCUCUUCUAUAUAUACGAAUGUAGUAUCUAUGAGAUACAAGAUUUUGCUUUCAUGGCAUUAAUUCAUGCACUAUAUAUGUGCAAUUGUGCAUGUAUGAUAUAUAGUCAGUAUUCAGAACGUGUUUGUCCUUGUAAGUUCACAGAUGACGCUGAGAACAGGAUUAAUUGAGGAAAUGUUUGUAAUAUUUUCCACAUUUAAUGAGUAUAUUGAGAUAAAUUGAAUAUACAUCUUGUAAAAACUUUAUACGAGUAUAUUAAUUUGUGAAUAUUGAAGUAAAACCUCAAUAUUUAAUCAAUUAAUGAUGAUUUUAUACAUCGUCGACAAACUUAAAAGGACAAAUACAUUUUAGUUUUGCCAUAUAGAGUGGAUGAAUUAAUGGCAUAAUCAAUCAAAUCUUAUCUUCGAGAAAUAGUGCAUUUGUAUACAAGUUACGCCACACUUGAUGAUCGAGAAAUUGAUGCCCCCCUCUGAUUAGAUCCAACUAGUCGCCCGCCGUGCACCUGCACGGCCUAGCCUCUAUAGUUAUACGUAUUUGCUAAUAAAUUUAUAUUAUUAUCUAUAUUGCAAGUGUUUAAAUUUCAAAUAUGCUACAUUUGGAUAGACACUAAGUUAUUCUAACAAUGAUAUAUCAGAAAAUAAAAACACGUAUUGUAAACUUCAUUAUAGGGAAGAGUGUGCAUCUGAUUUCUCAUGUAUGUUGCGCAAACUGUCAUCACUGGUCUAAAUGAAGCCUUCACGUAAUAGUAGCAACAUGCACCUCUUUGUUGCUUUGACAACACCUACUAAGGGAUGAAGAGAGUAUGAAUUAAACUGGACUAUAUGGCAAGAUAUACAUCUUCGUGAUUUAUUUAAUCCACAUUGUAGCACAUAUAACACAACUCAACAAAAGUUAGGAUAAAUAUAUAGUAAACACAUACCGCUCAACAAAUUCGACGUAUGAGAGGCAUGUGCUGCAUGGGAAGUUUAAUUUUUCCAAGGAUGAUGUAUAUAUCAAUUAUUUACAUAUAUAAAAUUAUUAGAAUAUGUACGUGGUAUUUUUAAAGAUAAUUCUAGUGCCUAAUAUUUAAGUCGAUAUGUGUUCCAUUUGCUAACCAACCCGAGGCUAGAUGAUUAGGUGCACAAUGGUAUCCCAAGCCCACCAGAGUUCAAUUGCUAGGCCUGACACCAGUGCUCACAUUUUUCUUGGAUUUAUUUCAGGACUUCUCGCAAUAUGCGUUUGUUGGAAGGAGAUGUUCUCAUCGACUACGAAGGCAUCUAUGGCAACUUUGUUAAUCUCAAUAUGAUAUGUUGGCCUAGUCUAUUGUAGGUGCUCAUAGGUGUAGGAUAUGCGUGUGUGAGUUUAUAGAAAUGAUUGUAUAUGCGUAUGUAUGAGUGUCCGCGUCUGUGCUAUAUCAAAAAAGAUAUGUGUUCCAUUUAGUAUUGGAUCAAAUAAUUUAAAAUUAUAUUACUUUGUUGCGGCCAGUGUAUAUAUGCACCCCAACUACAAUGGUACUCAUACUAUUAUAUAAUAUAUAUACAUUUCUUCUUAUGCAUUAGGCAAUGUUCGUGUCUUCACUCUUAACCUACAAACACAAUGCUAUACUUAAUUGACGAUGUAUCUGUCUAGCACCAUAUUAAAUAAUAGAGUAUCUCAUAAUACUUGAAAAUAUUUUACACCUAAAAUUUUAAAAUUAAUGAACGCGGUCAUGAUAUAAUCCUAUUUGAAAUAUAUAGUAUGGUUAACAUAUCAAGAUAUAUGACAUUCAUAGUAGUCUAUAAGCAUUUUU